RNAcentral lists this ribosomal RNA (468 nucleotides) under uncultured bacterium. RNAcentral describes it as "partial 16S ribosomal RNA". It matches the Rfam family "Bacterial small subunit ribosomal RNA", at positions 28 to 507 of the family's 1533-position model. The record is from RNAcentral.
GACGAACGCUGGCGGCGUGCUUAACACAUGCCAGUCGAACGGAAAGGCCCUGCUUUUGUGGGGUGCUCGAGUGGCGAACGGGUGAGUAACACGUGAGUAACCUGCCCUUGACUUUGGGAUAACUUCAGGAAACUGGGGCUAAUACCGGAUAGGAGCUCCUGCUGCAUGGUGGGGGUUGGAAAGUUUCGGCGGUUGGGGAUGGACUCGCGGCUUAUCAGCUUGUUGGUGGGGUAGUGGCUUACCAAGGCUUUGACGGGUAGCCGGCCUGAGAGGGUGACCGGCCACAUUGGGACUGAGAUACGGCCCAGACUCCUACGGGAGGCAGCAGUGGGGAAUAUUGCACAAUGAGCGGAAGCCUGAUGCAGCAACGCCGCGUGCGGGAUGACGGCCUUCGGGUUGUAAACCGCUUUCGCCUGUGACGAAGCGUGAGUGACGGUAAUGGGUAAAGAAGCACCGGCUAACUACGUG